This 490-nucleotide ribosomal RNA is filed under the name uncultured bacterium. Its description in RNAcentral is "partial 16S ribosomal RNA". It matches the Rfam family "Bacterial small subunit ribosomal RNA", at positions 30 to 507 of the family's 1533-position model. The record is from RNAcentral.
AUUGAACGCUGGCGGCAGGCCUAACACAUGCAAGUCGAACGGUAACAGGAAACAGCUUGCUGUUUCGCUGACGAGUGGCGGACGGGUGAGUAAUGUCUGGGAAACUGCCUGAUGGAGGGGGAUAACUACUGGAAACGGUAGCUAAUACCGCAUAACGUCGCAAGACCAAAGAGGGGGACCUUCGGGCCUCUUGCCAUCGGAUGUGCCCAGAUGGGAUUAGCUUGUUGGUGGGGUAACGGCUCACCAAGGCGACGAUCCCUAGCUGGUCUGAGAGGAUGACCAGCCACACUGGAACUGAGACACGGUCCAGACUCCUACGGGAGGCAGCAGCGGGGAAUAUUGCACAAUGGGCGCAAGCCUGAUGCAGCCAUGCCGCGUGUAUGAAGAAGGCCUUCGGGUUGUAAAGUACUUUCAGCGGGGAGGAAGGGAGUAAAGUUAAUACCUUUGCUCAUUGACGUUACCCGCAGAAGAAGCACCGGCUAACUCCGUG